This 495-nucleotide ribosomal RNA is filed under the name uncultured bacterium. RNAcentral describes it as "partial 16S ribosomal RNA". It matches the Rfam family "Bacterial small subunit ribosomal RNA", at positions 28 to 507 of the family's 1533-position model. The record is from RNAcentral.
GACGAACGCUGGCGGCGUGCCUAAUACAUGCAAGUCGAGCGGAACCAUUGGAGCUUGCUCCUUUGGUUUAGCGGCGGACGGGUGAGUAACACGUGGGCAACCUGCCCUGCAGAUCGGGAUAACUCCGGGAAACCGGUGCUAAUACCGAAUAGUUUGCGGCCUCUCAUGAGGCUGCACGGAAAGACGGUUUCGGCUGUCACUGCAGGAUGGGCCCGCGGCGCAUUAGCUAGUUGGUGAGGUAACGGCUCACCAAGGCCACGAUGCGUAGCCGACCUGAGAGGGUGAUCGGCCACACUGGGACUGAGACACGGCCCAGACUCCUACGGGAGGCAGCAGUAGGGAAUCUUCCGCAAUGGACGAAAGUCUGACGGAGCAACGCCGCGUGAGUGAAGAAGGUUUUCGGAUCGUAAAACUCUGUUGUGAGGGAAGAACAAGUACCAAGUAACUACUGGUACCUUGACGGUACCUCACCAGAAAGCCACGGCUAACUACGUG